This 480-nucleotide ribosomal RNA is filed under the name Enterobacter cancerogenus. RNAcentral describes it as "bacterial SSU rRNA". It matches the Rfam family "Bacterial small subunit ribosomal RNA", at positions 33 to 501 of the family's 1533-position model. The record is from RNAcentral. Lineage: Bacteria; Pseudomonadati; Pseudomonadota; Gammaproteobacteria; Enterobacterales; Enterobacteriaceae.
ACGCUGGCGGCAGGCCUAACACAUGCAAGUCGAACGGUAGCACAGAGAGCUUGCUCUCGGGUGACGAGUGGCGGACGGGUGAGUAAUGUCUGGGAAACUGCCUGAUGGAGGGGGAUAACUACUGGAAACGGUAGCUAAUACCGCAUAACGUCGCAAGACCAAAGAGGGGGACCUUCGGGCCUCUUGCCAUCAGAUGUGCCCAGAUGGGAUUAGCUAGUAGGUGGGGUAACGGCUCACCUAGGCGACGAUCCCUAGCUGGUCUGAGAGGAUGACCAGCCACACUGGAACUGAGACACGGUCCAGACUCCUACGGGAGGCAGCAGUGGGGAAUAUUGCACAAUGGGCGCAAGCCUGAUGCAGCCAUGCCGCGUGUAUGAAGAAGGCCUUCGGGUUGUAAAGUACUUUCAGCGGGGAGGAAGGCGAUAAGGUAAAUAAACCCACUGUCGAUUGACGUUACCCGCAGAAGAAGCACCGGCUAAU